RNAcentral lists this small nucleolar RNA (100 nucleotides) under Nelumbo nucifera (sacred lotus). RNAcentral's name for it is "Small nucleolar RNA R30/Z108". It matches the Rfam family "Small nucleolar RNA R30/Z108". From Rfam's summary of the family: snoR30 is a C/D box small nucleolar RNA which acts as a methylation guide for 18S ribosomal RNA in plants. Lineage: Eukaryota; Viridiplantae; Streptophyta; Magnoliopsida; Proteales; Nelumbonaceae. The record is from Rfam by way of RNAcentral.
UGAGAUUGCUAUGAGGAUAACAAGCUCCCUCUUCCGAAAUGAAGUUGAGGUCAAAAGCUGGCAGAAUCGAACCAAUUAGUCACACGCCAUCACUGAGCAA